GUGAGGGACCCAGAGAAACAACUGGCAGAUGGCAAAAACAAGCAAAGAGAAGACUGCUUGCUACAGGCAGCGGGUCAAUGCAGACCCUACAGUAAGAGCCGACUAUCUUGCCAGGAAAAGAGAAAGCUACCAUAGAAGAAAACAACAGGGCAAGAUUCCAUAUUUGAAGUCGGAUGAGAUUUCAGAGAGGGAG
Gymnodraco acuticeps is the source of this 193-nucleotide long non-coding RNA. RefSeq lists it as uncharacterized. NCBI's taxonomy places the organism in Eukaryota, Metazoa, Chordata, Actinopteri, Perciformes, Bathydraconidae. The record is from RefSeq and is a predicted model, not a curated record. The transcript has 3 exons.